GGUUGUGGCUCAGUGGUUCUAGAGCGCUUGCCUAGCAUGCAUGAGACACUGUGUUCGACCCCCAGCACCA
Molecule: transfer RNA, 70 nt
Filed under: Marmota monax (woodchuck)
Lineage: Eukaryota; Metazoa; Chordata; Mammalia; Rodentia; Sciuridae
Description: tRNA.Ala
Source: RNAcentral